AUGUCCAUCGUGCAUGUCUGUGUGCAGUUGCUGUUUGGUGCUACUGCCGGGAAAGAAACUGUUCCAAGGGCACGUGCACAGUUGCACUCCUCCUUCAGUGAUUCCUUUGAUGUAUCUCAAGAGAGGAUAGUGAUAACGAACAGUUCUGGAGAGAAACUCAUUGGUGUUUUGCACGAAGCUGGAUCUAAGGACAUUGUAGUGUUAUGCCAUGGGUUUAGGUCAUCAAAGGAAAGUAGAACCAUAAUGGGUCUUACUGAUGCAUUAACAUCAGAGAAGAUUAGUGUAUUUCGGUUUGAUUUUUCUGGCAAUGGAGAAAGUGAAAGUACAUUUCAGUAUGGCAACUACUACAAAGAGGUGGAUGAUUUGCAUAGUGUAAUCCAGCAUUUUAAGGAACACAAGCGUGAUACUCGUGCUAUUGCUGGCCACAGUAAGGGAGGAGAUGUGGUCAUCAUCUAUGGGUCCAUGUAUCAAGAUGUAUCUCGUAUUAUCAACAUAUCGGGCAGAUUUGAUCUGAAACGUGGAAUUGCAGAUCGUCUUGGCAGUGACUAUAUGGAAAGGAUAAAUCAACAUGGUUUCAUUGACGUGGCACAGAAGACAGGACAGUUCAUGUACCGUGUAACCAAAGAAAGUCUGAUGGAUCGUCUUAGGAUAGAUAUGCAAAGUGCAUGCAUGUCUAUUGACCCUAAUUGCAGGGUCCUGACAGUUCACGGUUCUGAAGAUGAUGUUGUGCCAUCGGAGGAUGCUCUGGAAUUUCAUAAAUAUAUAGGCAACCAUGAAUUGCAUAUUAUUGAGGGAGCUGAUCAUAGAUAUUCAUCUCAUCAGCUUGAGUUGGCUAACAUUGUAAUGAAAUUUGUUACAUCUGGCUGA
Molecule: ribosomal RNA, 867 nt
Filed under: Triticum aestivum (bread wheat)
Lineage: Eukaryota; Viridiplantae; Streptophyta; Magnoliopsida; Poales; Poaceae
Description: partial small subunit ribosomal RNA
Source: RNAcentral